AACGAACGCUGGCGGCAGGCUUAACACAUGCAAGUCGAACGCAUCGCAAGAUGAGUGGCAGACGGGUGAGUAACGCGUGGGAACAUACCCUUUUCUACGGAAUAGCUCUGGGAAACUGGAAUUAAUACCGUAUACGCCCUACGGGGGAAAGAUUUAUCGGGGAAGGAUUGGCCCGCGUUGGAUUAGCUAGUUGGUGGGGUAAAGGCCUAGCAAGGCGACGAUCCAUAGCUGGUCUGAGAGGAUGAUCAGCCACAUUGGGACUGAGACACGGCCCAAACUCCUACGGGAGGCAGCAGUGGGGAAUAUUGGACAAUGGGCGCAAGCCUGAUCCAGCCAUGCCGCGUGAGUGAUGAAGGCCUUAGGGUUGUAAAGCUCUUUCACCGAUGAAGAUAAUGACAGUAGUCGGAGAAGAAGCCCCGGCUAACUUCGUGCCAGCCGCCGCGGUAA
Molecule: ribosomal RNA, 447 nt
Filed under: uncultured bacterium
Lineage: Bacteria
Description: partial 16S ribosomal RNA
Rfam family: Bacterial small subunit ribosomal RNA
Source: RNAcentral